RNAcentral lists this transfer RNA (73 nucleotides) under Thermoanaerobaculum aquaticum. It matches the Rfam family "tRNA". Rfam says of the family: Transfer RNA (tRNA) molecules are approximately 80 nucleotides in length. Their secondary structure includes four short double-helical elements and three loops (D, anti-codon, and T loops). The record is from Rfam by way of RNAcentral. Lineage: Bacteria; Pseudomonadati; Acidobacteriota; Thermoanaerobaculia; Thermoanaerobaculales; Thermoanaerobaculaceae.
GGGGCCGUAGCUCAGUUGGGAGAGCGCAUGAAUGGCAUUCAUGAGGUCGUGGGUUCGACUCCCAUCGGCUCCA